This 2437-nucleotide long non-coding RNA is filed under the name Bemisia tabaci. Its description in RNAcentral is "lncRNA ENSSSA2NGG001253". The record is from RNAcentral. Lineage: Eukaryota; Metazoa; Arthropoda; Insecta; Hemiptera; Aleyrodidae.
AUGUUUUUUUACUUUAAACCACCGAGAGGAUUUAUCAGUUCUGAUAUGCUAAACAAGUGUGCUGUAUCCAGACUGAAAUUCUUUCUCAGCCAAAGCAGCCACACUUCUGAAGACUAUGAAUUUCUCAUAUUUGGAUCUGCCUACGAUAGGGCUGGCCAUUUUCUUCUCAGAUUGUUCGGUGCUUUUCAGUCGAAAGAACAUUUGACAAAGUUGUUAAUGGAUGGAGAAGUAGUGUUGUUCAUGGAACGUUUGGCAGGCAUCCCAAUUGAAGAAAAACUCAAAGCAUUCAGAUUACUGAAUCGACACAUAGUGGAAAUGAGGAAUAGCAAUACCCUUAUGCUGCGGAGGGAUGAGAUGUACCAAGCGCUUUCCCUGUUAAGUCGUUUUCUUUCAAUGAGAAAUAUUUGUAAUCACAUCUUCCGAAAUGGAGAGUGCAUGAUUUUUGUUCCUCGUAUUCAAUAAAGGUUGACUUCAAAUCAUGUCUACAUUUAUUAAAAAAUCGCGAGGUUGUAUUAAAUAAUGGUAUCGCAACUGUUCCUUGUAGCAAGUGGAAAAUUAUGUUGAAAGAGCUAUUCAUCACUCAUAUGGACUAUGGUAUCAGAGAGCUGAUAGAGCUAAAAACAGUCCAGGCAGCCAUUCUAGAUUCGCGACUCAUGGCAUCUUUCAGAGCUCUCGACAGCAUCCUUGUUGCAGCUAUAUAAAAAACCACUUUAAUGGUCUGCGCUCUGAGUCAGGUAUGUGUGGGUAAGAUUUUAAACAAUUUUAGUUGAUAUAUUUUAUUUUUACUUACAAUUUCUUAGACAAGUAAGAAGUGCUUCAACGUAGAGAAGAAUUUUUCUCUUCCAAUCUGUGUAGCUUCUGUUCUUUAUAGCGUCUCACCUUCUGUAUUUGGAUUACGUUUUGCAAUAAGGAACCAUUAUCUCUGACUCUUCCAUGAAAGCACGUAUUUGCAUGGGGAAAGUAAUAGCAUUUAUGUUGUUUCUAAAACGAGCCGGAAAUAGUGGCUCCUUAUUGCAAAAUGUAAUCCAUUUUAGGUAUUGCAGGGUUCAUUUAAAAACAAGUCUCAAUGUUUUAUUCAUCCAAACCAAUGAUGAUAUCUUCAAUUAAAAGAAAUUCAUGCUCCUUACUUUACGGCAACAGGAACAGAUCCAAACUGGUACCGUAUCUCAAAUACAAAGUCCCUGAUUGAGCUAACCUCGCUUUCAUUCGAAAUAUGGCUCAGAAAGCUUUCAAUUAAUGUCAAAACAGCUGUUUGAUCAACAAUUGAUGACUUGGCAGAUUGUAAAUAAAUUUGUGCAAACUGAAGACAGAAUCUCGAUGAAACUUCUGAGCCUUCUUGCAUAGGUACUUUUUAAAACUAAAUUUAACCACGUACGAAUUUUUAUUUUCCACCAUUAUUCUGCCACCAUAAGAAAGCAGCGUUAGCCAGUAAUGGGCUGAUCAAUUGAGAAAUAUUAUUUUUUCCUCUACUUCAGUGUAUGAAGAUGUUAUAUGAAGAGAUCAAUGAAAAUUUUAUAACAUAGAUAAGAUCUGUCUAAUUUUCUUAACGGUAAAUGUCAACAUUUGUAAGGUAUACACUUGUUUCCAUAUUUGUUUUUCCAUUCAGAAUGCAAUGAAGUCAAUUAUAACUCCUUUUACUGUCAGUUGUUCCAUUCUUUAAUCUGGAACAGUAUUGACAUAUUUUGAAAAAGAUACUGUGACUCUAUAAUACCAGUAGUGAAAUUUACUCCUGUUUAGGCUGUGAUGUGGUCAGGACUGACGAUUUGGUAAAGGAAAGUAUGUGGUUCCCUCCUUGUAUGCUUCAUCUGUACAAAACUUUAAGAGCACGGCACCGACUGUCUCAUCAGGCCCGGUUUUAUUUCAGUUUAUUUCUGAAAGAUAUUGGAAUGCCUUUGAGUGAAUCAUUAGCAUUUUGGGAAGCAGAAUACUCUAAACCACUUUGCUCUAAGUCCACUUGCACACACUCCUGGCAGAAAAGCAGUAACAAGUAUAUCUAUGGAAUCAAACACCUCUAUGGUGUGGUUGGUGGGUGCAAGAAAUAUUCCUCUCCAACCUGCCGUAAAAUACAGGUUAGUUUCGUUCGUUUUUUAUCAUAUUAUGUUUAUCCCCAAUAAUUAUUCUCACCGAGGACACUUACAGAAGGUAGGUCAUUUGUAUGAAGCUAGUUGAUUUAAUCGGAAAUUUUGAGUCUUAUGUUCCAAAAAAUUUAGUCAAUGAAUGAAUUGUGUAAGAUCAUUUCUUUUAAUUUUUAUGCUAAAGUUGUAAAACCAUUAAUAUUUUGACCUAAGAGUAACGCCUCACAGCCAUUUUACAAAAUAUGUAAGCAACAAUCCAAAAACGUGACAAAACCAUCGCUCUAUCCGUGUUUUUUUUAUGUAUAUACCUACUCUUUUAUUUUUAUUUUAUUAUAUUUAUUUUUAUUUUAAUUACUUAUUUA